RNAcentral lists this ribosomal RNA (250 nucleotides) under uncultured bacterium. Its description in RNAcentral is "partial 16S ribosomal RNA". It matches the Rfam family "Bacterial small subunit ribosomal RNA", at positions 524 to 773 of the family's 1533-position model. The record is from RNAcentral.
GACGGAGGGGGCUAGUGUUAUUCGGAAUUACUGGGCGUAAAGGGCAUGUAGGCGGAGAAUUAAGUUGGAAGUGAAAUCCCAAAGCUUAACUUUGGAACGGCUUUCAAAACUGAUUCACUUGAGGUCGAUAGAGGAUAGUGGAAUUUCUAGUGUAGAGAUAAAAUUCAUAAAUAUUAGAAGGAACACCAGUGGCGAAGGCGACUAUCUGGAUCGAUACUGACGCUGAGAUGCGAAAGCAUGGGGAGCAAAC